RNAcentral lists this ribosomal RNA (482 nucleotides) under uncultured bacterium. Its description in RNAcentral is "partial 16S ribosomal RNA". It matches the Rfam family "Bacterial small subunit ribosomal RNA", at positions 30 to 507 of the family's 1533-position model. The record is from RNAcentral.
AUUGAACGCUGGCGGCAUGCCUUACACAUGCAAGUCGAACGGUAACGGGUCUUCGGGUGCCGACGAGUGGCGAACGGGUGAGUAAUACAUCGGAACGUGCCCGAUCGUGGGGGAUAACGAGGCGAAAGCUUUGCUAAUACCGCAUACGAUCUACGGAUGAAAGCAGGGGACCGCAAGGCCUUGCGCGGACGGAGCGGCCGAUGGCAGAUUAGGUAGUUGGUGGGAUAAAAGCUUACCAAGCCGACGAUCUGUAGCUGGUCUGAGAGGAUGAUCAGCCACACUGGGACUGAGACACGGCCCAGACUCCUACGGGAGGCAGCAGUGGGGAAUUUUGGACAAUGGGCGCAAGCCUGAUCCAGCCAUGCCGCGUGCAGGAUGAAGGCCUUCGGGUUGUAAACUGCUUUUGUACGGAACGAAAAGCCUUCUUUUAAUACAGGAGGGUCAUGACGGUACCGUAAGAAUAAGCACCGGCUAACUACGUG